UAUAUGUAGAAACUGCGAACGGCUCAUUAAAACAGUUAUAGUCUACUUGACAUUUUUUUUAUAAGGAUAACUACGGAAAAGCUGUAGCUAAUACUUGCUUUAAUACUCUUAAUUCUUUAUGUUUUUUGAGUAUGUAUUUGUUAAGCCUUAUAAGAGAAAAGUUUAUUAACUUAAGGAAUUAUAACAAAGAAGUAACACAUAAUAAAUUUCGAUUUAUUUAGUGUGUAUCAAUCGAGUUUCUGACCUAUCAGCUUUUGAUGUUAGGGUAUUGGCCUAACAUGGCUAUGACGGGUAACGGGGAAUUAGAGUUCGAUUCCGGAGAGGGAGCCUGAGAAAUAGCUACCACAUCUAAGGAAGGCAGCAGGCGCGUAAAUUACCCAAUUCUAAAGAAGAGAGGUAGUGACAAGAAAUAACAAUGCAAGGCCAAAUUUUGGUUUUGCAAUUGGAAUGAUGGGAAUUUAAAACCUUCCCAGAAGGCAAUUGGAGGGCAAGUCUGGUGCCAGCAGCCGCGGUAAUUCCAGCUCCAAUAGCGUAUAUUAAAAUUGUUGCAGUUAAAACGCUCGUAGUUGAAUUUCAAGGAAUCAAUAUUUUAAGCAAUGCUUUGUAUAUUUUUAACAAAGUUGUACAUUAAGAAUAAACGCUAUAAGUGUUAUAUUCUUUCUGUUACAUUUUGUUUUAUUAAUAUGCAUAUGCGUUCUUAUUAUAAAAAUGAUUCUUUUUAAAAUUCUCUUGUAUAAUUUUUUAUGCAUGGGAAUUUUGUUACUUUGAGUAAAUUAGAGUGUUCAAAGCAAACAGUUAAAACAGUUUCUGUGUUUGAAUACUACAGCAUGGAAUAACAAAAUUGAACAAGUCAAAAUUUUGUUCUUUUUUCUUAUUUUGGCUUAGUUACGAUUAAUAGGAGUAGCUUGGGGGCAUUUGUAUUCAGAUGUCAGAGGUGAAAUUCUUAGAUUUUCUGGAGACAAGCAACUGCGAAAGCAUUUGCCUAAAAUACUUCCAUUAAUCAAGAACGAAAGUUAAGGGAGUGAAGACGAUCAGAUACCGUCGUAAUCUUAACCAUAAACUAUGCCGACUAGGUGUUGGAUGAUAGAGUAAAAAAUAAAAGAAAUAUUCAUAUUAAUGAGUAUUUCUUUUAGAUAGCUUCCUUCAGUACCUUAUGAGAAAUCAAAGUCUUUGGGUUCUGGGGCGAGUAUUCGCGCAAGCGAGAAAGUUAAAAGAAUUGACGGAAGGGCACCACCAGGCGUGGAGCUUGCGGCUUAAUUUGACUCAACACGGGGAAACUCACUAGUUUAAGACAAGAGUAGGAUUGACAGAUUAAUAGCUCUUUCUUGAUUUCUUGGAUGGUGAUGCAUGGCCGUUUUUAGUUCGUGAAUAUGAUUUGUCUGGUUAAUUCCGAUAACGAACGAGAUCUUAACCUGCUAAUUAGCGGUAAAUACACCAUAUUCUUAAGUGAAAUUCGAAUAUAGAUAAAUUGUGCUAAUUUCGAUUAAAAUAUUAGAAUGUUUUUUUUAAUAAAAACGUUCUUUUCCCUUUUUUUCUUAAUUAUGCAUAUUUAUUCUUUUUCUUUUUUUGCAUAAGAAUGUAUUUGCUUAAUUGUAAAGCUUCUUAGAGGAACGAUGUGUGUCUAACACAAGGAAGUUUAAGGCAACAACAGGUCUGUGAUGUCCUUAGAUGAACUAGGCUGCACGCGUGCUACACUGAUAUGUAUAACGAGUAUUUAAAAAUAUAUAUCUUGUUAUGUUAUACGUAUUUCUAUAUGUAUGCAUGCAAAGAAUAUAUAGUUUUCCUCCACUGAAAAGUGUAGGUAAUCUUUUUCAAUACAUAUCGUGAUGGGGAUAGAUUAUUGCAAUUAUUAAUCUUGAACGAGGAAUGCCUAGUAAGCAUGAUUCAUCAGAUUGUGCUGACUACGUCCCUGCCCUUUGUACACACCGCCCGUCGCUCCUACCGAUUGAAAGAUAUGAUGAAUUGUUUGGACAAGGAAAAAGGGUUUUUAUUCUUUUUUCUGG
Molecule: ribosomal RNA, 2003 nt
Filed under: Plasmodium malariae
Lineage: Eukaryota; Apicomplexa; Aconoidasida; Haemosporida; Plasmodiidae
Description: SSU rRNA
Rfam family: Eukaryotic small subunit ribosomal RNA
Source: RNAcentral